GUUCCUAAAAGGUUGGAAAGUUCUUGUUGCUAUAGGUAUUAAAUCCAUGGUCCCAUGAAUACCAGGAAUAACUACCACUGUGCUAAAUCCUCAGCUCUGUGUGUGUGUGUGUGUGUGUGUGUCUCACACACACGUAUAUAAAGAGAAUAUAUUUAUGAUAAGUUAAUCCUGGACUAAUCACUAUACACGAUAGCUGUAUUAAUGCAGAGUUUAAUAGACAGAUCUACAUUCUGAAAAGUCUGUUGUUAGGAAAUUGUGUCACAUGAGUCUCACGGACUGGAUGGGUCAUGACAGAGGUGCCAUCACUAAGCAAUGCAGUGUACAGGACCAUCAUCACAGACCAGGUCUGUGUUGGACAAACACGCUGUUAUGAGUCCCAUUGCUAUACACAGCUUCCAUUGCUCGACUAUAUGGCAGACGUUUAAAAGUAAAGAAAAACGGGGCUGGGGAUUUAGCUCAAUGCUAGAGCGCUUACCUAGGAAGCGCAAGGCCCUGGGUUCGGUCCCCAGCUCCGAAAAAAAAGAAACAAAAAAAUAAAAUAAAAUAAAAAAUAAAGAAAAACAAAAUCUGUUCUUUCUUAAUUCAACCCUGACUUAAAAAAUAAUAA
This 607-nucleotide long non-coding RNA is filed under the name Rattus norvegicus (Norway rat). RNAcentral describes it as "long non-coding RNA NONRATT026702". Lineage: Eukaryota; Metazoa; Chordata; Mammalia; Rodentia; Muridae. The record is from RNAcentral.